CUUCCUGAGUUGAAAAACCUUUUGCAGGACAAGACUGGGAAAGACGUUUGUGUGUCUGCGUCCUGCAGCUGGAAGCAGUCGGGACGUCUCACAACCAAAGACGUCCUCGCUGAGGGCUGGAUGUCCAACUUGAGCUGGUCCAUCACCCAGGGGUCCCUCUCAGCCCCCUCGAUGAAUUCCUCCAAAGAUAUCUGGCCUACACGAUUCCAAAGAGAACCAAAGGGACACUCAGACAUCAGAGGACGGAUGGUUGAUGUAGAUACUAAAUGUGAGCACGUUGUCUCAUAAUAAACAAGGAACUUACUGUCGUUAUUCUUGUCCACUGAAUGAAAUAUUCGGUCACAGAUGUCCUCGAUAUUUCCCGUGAUGCUCGGAUUGUUGUGCUUCUUUAUUGCGUAGAUGAUCUGAGCAAAUGCAUAAGAGACUAGUUACAAAUUUAAAAGACUGAGAUCUGAAGCAAAGACCGUUCUGAAACACAUGAUAGAAUUAUCCAUUUGGACUUUGUGUCACAGAAUGUCAAUCAAACGUAUUCAAACCUUUAGAAAUAAUAUGAAAACCUGUUGAAGAACUCUCCUGUUAGAACAGAGAGUAAUAAUAAAGACAUUGGUUUAAA
Molecule: long non-coding RNA, 613 nt
Organism: Gasterosteus aculeatus aculeatus (three-spined stickleback)
Lineage: Eukaryota; Metazoa; Chordata; Actinopteri; Perciformes; Gasterosteidae
Source: RefSeq, a predicted model, not a curated record